Acipenser ruthenus (sterlet) is the source of this 6597-nucleotide long non-coding RNA. RefSeq lists it as uncharacterized. The transcript has 3 exons. NCBI's taxonomy places the organism in Eukaryota, Metazoa, Chordata, Actinopteri, Acipenseriformes, Acipenseridae. The record is from RefSeq and is a predicted model, not a curated record.
CUUACUUCAAAGCUUGUGAUUUUCAUUGAGCGAAUGUUAAGGAGCAGUACAUAAUGCCAGUUAAGAAAACCUGUGUAGGCUUUGUCAGCUUAAUUCAAAACAAAACUAACAUUCACCUGUAAAUUAAUCUGUACAUCACACAGCUCUUUUUUCUUCAAAAGGUCUGACUCUAAACUCUAGACAGUCUGGCGGUUUUAUAUAGUUUUUCUUUAAAGAAGGACAGCAGCAAGAGACACAAGUACUGCCCUUCGUCUUGCAGUAAAGCCAGCCUCUUUCAUGUCAAGAUGUAUAAACAGAAACCUCAGGGCCUGUCUGUGUGCAAGGGCAGCCAGUCCUGAGCUCCACAAACCGCAGCAAAGGAGGAGAGAUAAAUGAGUGAGAAAAUAAUGUUUGGAGAGCUUUGGGGUUUUUAGCCAUAAAAGCUUUUGCUACAACAAUUGUAAUCUCUAUCCAUCACCAGAUGAUGAUCUGAAUCAAGUACCAGAAACCUGAAGGGAUAUUUGUUGACAGGACUCAUGCUUCACACCUGACUCACUGCUGCAACCUCCACGCUGACUCGGGAGAUACGAAGACGAGCACACACAUCCUCCGAAACGUGUGCUGUCAGCCGUCCACUUCUUUUCAAUCUGCAGGCCUGCCAUGCAGCUACCUUCAGAGCUGCAGCAUCAGAGGACCACUCAGCUCUGGGCCGUUUGCAGGCAGGCCCGCAGGCGGCUGGCCAGUCUACAGGGGUUGCUGGUGCGUGGUGAGCCGAGGACACCCUGGCCGACCUAAGCCCUCCCCACCCCGGGUGGCGCUUGGCCAAUUGUACGCUGCCCCCUGGGAACUCCCAUCCACAGCCAGCAGUGGAAUAGCUUGGACCCAAACCGGCGACCUCCAGGCUACAGGGUGCAUCCUGCACUCCACGCGGAAUGCCUUUACUGGAUGCGCCACUCGAAAGCCCAGGUACAGGUUUUAUUUGUCAAAGUGUAAAAUAUGGAUUAAUGGUCAGCAUGCUAAGAUACAUAAGGCUAAACUAAUUGUAGACUGUUAACAAUAUAAUACGAUGUGCAGUAUACAUUGCAUUGCUUUCUGAAAUGCUGCCAUUGUUUCAUUUGUUUUAAAUCUGUUAGAAUUUGGAUUGUGCCUCUUUUUAGUGUUAACUGUGACUUGAGAAAAGUACAAAUUGUUGUGGACAGCAAAUAAGUAACUUCUGCCAUUCAACACUUAACAUUUUUUACACUGUUCAGUAGCAACUUUUGAAUGACAGAUCCUUAAUUAAAUUUUAAUGCUGGAUUUGCAAUAGUAGAUUGUAGCUCUCGUGGAAGUGGUCUAUGUCUUUUUGAAAAUAAAUGGUAUGGGCAACUCAUACUGGACCCUGUUCUCUUCUCUCCUGUCUCCCAGGAGAUACUCUUCAGUUUUGCAGCUGGGAGGGACUGAGGCGUACAGAUGUGAAAUAACUUUCGACAGGGUCUCAUACUAGUCUAAGUGGGUGCAGUAGAGUUUGAAGCCAGAAUUCUUCAGCUCCCACACCUCUCAUCUAACCCCAAGGUCACUCUGCCUCCACAGUUCUCCAGGCUUUAACAAUAACAUACCAUUUAGAUACCCGUGUAGUCAGACCACAGCAAAAGGGAUAAGGAACAAAUAUUGCACAGUUGUACUAAUAUUGAUUAUCGUUAUUAUUGGUUCAUAACAUUGUAUAUUAAGAAGGCUACCACUGUGCUGGCAUUUUACCAGUGACUCAUUGUUGCUGCGUUUGUGCUGCCAUUGUCUGUUAUUUUAACCAUUGCACAUUCACAAAAUCCUGUUACAAACUGAAAGACCCAUGUUUAGAAGAAGGUCUCUCUCUUGUUUGGUGCACUGGAAUUUCCUCCACUAUCCUAUACAGCACAUGUUUUUUCCCUCCUUCAGUUUACUUUAAGCUCUAAUGUUUCUUGAGACUCUCACAGUGUAAUGUAGAACUUUGCUCUUUGCCAUAAUUAAUCUUUGUCAUGUUUAUUGAAACUCUGCAGCCCUGCACAUUUGUACUACAAACAGCUUUGUGCAUGAGCUAACAGGAUAAUAGAUUUGAACAGGCUAUCUAGGUUAGUUUAUGAUGUGAUGCAGCUAGACUUUAUCUAAUAGAUUAAUUCACUUUCAUUUCCAGACUGGUAUCUUAAUUUAUGACUCCAGCUUCACAUGUUGUUCAAUCUUGUACAUGCAACUGAAUACUUUUUUUUAGCAGCAAAUUAGUUUACUCAUGCACACCAGUACCACACUGAAAGUGAAUAACUCAAUAUCUCAAGGCAGCUACAAUUAGACAUACUUAGAUUAUUGCUGUUAGACAGUAGAAAAGAAAAAAAAAUACCAAAAACUUUUGUCACUAUUUUGUCAAACCAUCUUUUUUUAUCCACCGCUGGGGAUGAAAUUCCCUGCGAAGGGCAUAUAGUGGAGGAGGUCUGUGACAGAGCUAAAGAGGGAGGAGCCACUGCCAUGUGUCUAGACCUGUGGUCACUAGGCCAAGUUCCCAGGUUGCUGCACAACAAGUCACAGUGGUUUGCCUCAUCUCCUGUUCCGCUCCCCCUGGUGAACCAGGCGUCUCUGCACAGUCGCCGGGGCCUCUCAUCUCUGCCGGCUGCUGCAGCCACCCAGUCACCGUCCUGCACUCCUGGAGCCCUGUCAACUUUGCUUGGGUCGCCUGUUACUGGUUCUUGGUCCCUUACUGGAGGCGCCGGAAUGUGGAACGACCCGCCCUCCUACCCACCCGCAAGAAGUUAAAAUGAUGUUGGGGGUGAAGAGUUGGCCUUGGAAUGGCCAAGUGUGCAAGACACAAGAGGGAGGAUAUGUGACAGAGCAGAGGCUCGGCACAUGGGUGUGUGGGUGAGAGUUUGGUGGCUGGCGGCCAUCUUGAUGAAGGAGGCUGGAACCAAGAUGGCCACCCUUUGCACAGCCACAUGGCAUUGACUGAUUAAUUGUUUGAUUGAUGUUCAAAUGGAAAACUGUGGAAUGUGGCCAGGUGGGGAUUGGAUGAUUGAUUAAAUCAAUCAAGCCCCUGGCCACAUAUAAAAGGGAACAAAUUGGUGUUUGUUUGGUGAGAGUGCAGUGGAGCAGAGAGAGCAUGUCGGAGAGAGCGGAAAACCCUGUGGUAACCGUAGCUUGGGUGUUGUUUUGGGGGGUUAUUUGUUUUGAAUAGUUUGUAGGGUUUUUGUUCAACCCUUUCGACUGCAAUUUCAUGUCUGGGUUUUCUAUUUUUGCAAUACUAUACCACAAGGUCUUACCUUAUGUAUGUUGCACUUCACACAUUUUUGCUUAUAUAUAGUGAACCACAUAUCCAAUUGUUGUUAAAACUUAAGCAAUUAAAUAAUAUUAAGCCUUUUGUUUGAAAGGUUUGUCUGUGUUUUGGUAGAGGUACGUCUGUCUGCCUGGCAGUGUUUCUUAUGAGGGAGUUCAUUGCCCAGCCUAGUUACCUCCCUCAAAGGAAGUGCCUGUCAGUAGUGUCUGCACUUCAGUCAGCUUGGGAAUAGAACAACACCUUCGGAAGCCUGCAGGCAGCCUGCCAGGUCAUUGAGUUUGCUGCUUGAGUCAUACAAAGACUUCUGUGUUGACAGGGAUUUAUGAAAGGAUAAUGUCAGCCCUCGCACAAAACAGAGUGUGUCUAUGGCAAAGCAGGAAGUUCUUGUAGAUUAAAUUGUACUUGUGCUUAUAUUUUGCAAAGUAGGUUAUAUUGAUUCACAUUGAUUUUAUUAACUUUCUUAGAUUAUACACAUAGGGUCAACCAGGGUAUGUGUGGUGGGAAACUCUGUAACCUGAUUUCAAACUGAGAUAACUUAAUGCUGAUUGAAUGCAAGAUUUAGCUAGAAAUUCUCAGCAGUGUCUGAGUUUAAAUAAAUAAAGCAGUGCACCCACCAGUUACCCAGACGAAAACUCUGUUUAAAGUGUGGCAACAAAUCAGCACCAACUUGCUAAGGUAAUGUGCUUAAAUAGGAAGGAUUUGCACUAUACUGAUUUUUUUGAUGUAUUUUUUUGUCAUUGUGAUAUGACCCUUCUUGUACUUUAAAUAGAGUCCCUACAUUUUAAUAUGAAGCCUACAUUUUAUUUGUAUUUUGUCACACUCACUGUUCAUAUGCAUGGAUACAAUUUUUUUGAAAUAGGUAUUGGUCUAGAUGUGAACAAUUAACACCAUUCUUUAACUUCAAACGUGUCAACAGAUCGGUCUUUUCUUUUUUAUUGAAGGUCAGAAAAUUGGUCCACUUGUCAUGAAAUGACCUACAGUAAUGUAUGUUAUGGUUGUGUUGUAAUAUCAUAGAGAUAUUUAAAAAAAACAAAUGUUCCUGAUGCUGAGCAGCCUGGAGCCCGCUACAUGCAAACAAAUUCUGAUGUCAAUCAGUCAUGUUUUACCGAGACCAUUAAUGUUCAUAUACAAUGAGAAGAACCCGGAAGGCUUUGUUUUGGUUCCGUUUAACAUCACAUUGUAUUUAAAUUAGCCAUGUGUGUCUACCAGAAAUAUUUACCUAAAUAGGUGAUCUUUCCAGCUGACCAAAUAGUAAUCACUUUUUAAUCUAAUUGUUAGAUGUAUACUGUAUAUUUGGUUUUUUUUUGAAGAUGGCCCCACCUGUCAUUUAUUCUUUGCUGUUCAGUUUACUGCAGGUGGUUUACAUGUUUUUUGUUUGUUUGAUAAUAUAAAGGCUUAGCCUUUAACAUGAACCGGUUUGGAAUGUGUAAUAUGCUCAUGCUAUAGUAAUUCAGUAACCUCUCUUGCUUUUGCUACAAAAAAUUUCUACCAAAAGCAGUUUUAAUUUAAAAUGAAAUUACAAAUCUGAAUGAAGUAUACCACACAAAUAUGCUCAGGCAUGGUAUGUAGCCACUUUUUUUUUAAUCACUGAUGUUCUGUUGUACUUUAAGGCCAAAUCUCCUUAUAUUUUACAUACAGUGCAAUACAAUGCAAUCUUAUUCUAGUGAUGAAUUCCACCCAGUUGUCAUUUUAUUGGUUGGCAUAAACAUUUGAUUAAAAGUUUGAUCUUGGAUGAAGACCAUGAGCAUGCAAGCUGUUGAUGGCUUAAAUAACAUCCAUUCAGCUGUCAUUCAGAUUUUGUAUUUAACACUGUGCACAUUUUACACAGUUGUAUUGAGCUAUGGUGACCUUUGAUACAAAUCAGAGAUCAAAUCAAUAUUUAAUCUUUAAUUGUUCUCUCCCAAAUCCAUCAAAUAUUUUUAAUCAGAUCAUUCAGGAAAAAGGUUGCUAAAGGAUUUUCUGAAAUGAUAGUCAUGCAAUUCCAUUGAACCUUGCUGGAUGCGCUAAAUGAGUUUGCCCAAUAGUUAAAUAGUUUAAUUGACCUUUGUUUUUGGGUCAGUGGUCAGUGCUUCUUUCUAUUUGCCUGUCCAUCUGUCGGUGUGUUUUGCAUUCUCAGGUUAUUAAAAUCCCAUACAUUUUUAAACAAAUUAUCCCAAUUCAUUCUUGCCAAUGCUGACGAUUUUGUCAUUCACUUAGAAUACCAUGUCCAAGGUCAGAAUAUUGGUCCAGUUGUCAAGUAAUAAUCAUUUAGAGUAUUUUAUACUGUAGUAUCACAUUUCAGAAACAACAAAAAAAGUUUAUCAAUCUCUGUAAGGCUGCAACGUUUGAAAUGUUGAAAUUAGCAUGUGAUAUUCUAUCCAUUUUUUCAAAAGGAAGCCUGAUACAAAUAACCAAAUAAAUUACAACCGGUUCCAGAUUUAACAGUAAAAAGGAGUUGCAUAUUUAUUUAGUGCCCAAAGAGAUGGAAGGGUCCAUUAUUACUGUAUAAUCAAUUCUGCUUUCAUUAUUGGAAAUGCAUUGAGCAGUUUUGUUCAUCUGUGGACAGCACGACUGUUUAAUAUGCUUUAUGAAAAGUAGCCUUAUUAUUCUGGUACUGCAAUUCCACUUUUGUGUCAGAUUAAACUGGCAGUCCAUAUGGGCACCCUGACACCCUGGGAUCCUUCAAGAAGCUGCUUGAUGAGAUUCUGGGAUCAAUAAGCUAAUAACAUCCAAACGAGCAAGAUGGGCUGAAUGGCAUCCUCUCGUUUGUAAACUUUCUUAUGUUCUUAUGUAUGGGUUGUGCUGAGAAGGGGUCCCACGACCAGGAAAAGAUGAGAACCACUGCUGUAGACUGUUAACAAACCACUAACAACGGUCUGCUGGUAUGCAAAGAAAAGCAUAUCAAUACAGCAAAAUACAAGACCAGUGGUCUCACAACCAUCUUAAUCAGGUGAAAGAUUUUAUAUUUGUUUAUGUUCAAGACAUUUGCAGAGAAACAGCCUAAGGUAUUAUUAUUAUUAUUAUUAUUAUUAUUAUUAUUAUUAUUAUUAUUAAUUAGUCAUUUCAUCCAAAGCGACUUACAGAGACUAGGGGGUGAACUAUGCAUCAUAACUUGUGCUGCAGAGUCACUUACAAUAGGACCUCGGAUUUACAUCUCAUCCGAAGGAAGGAGCACAAGGAAGUUAAGUGACUUGCUCAAGGUCACAUACAGUGAGUCAGUGGCUGAGCUGGGAUUGAGCUGGGAAACUUCCUGGUAACAAGCCCCCUUUCUUUAACCACUGGACCACUAAGCCGUUCCAGGCACAUUUUUCCCUGUUAUCUGUGUUAAAUCAACUGCUUGCGGCUUCACUGCAGUGUAGUACUGUUAA